RNAcentral lists this ribosomal RNA (445 nucleotides) under uncultured bacterium. RNAcentral describes it as "partial 16S ribosomal RNA". It matches the Rfam family "Bacterial small subunit ribosomal RNA", at positions 50 to 523 of the family's 1533-position model. The record is from RNAcentral.
AACACAUGCAAGUCGAGCGGGAUUAUUUGGAAGCUUGCUUCUAGAUAUGAGAGCGGCGAACGGGUGAGGAACACGUUGGAAUCUGCCCCCAAGUCAGGGAUAGCGAGAAGAAAUUCUCAUUAAUACCGGAUAGUCUCUUUGGAGUAAAAAUUUAUUGCUUGGGGAAGAGCCUGCGUUCUAUCAGCUUGUUGGUGAGAUAAAAGCUCACCAAGGCUAUGACGGAUAACUGGUCUGAGAGGAUGAUCAGUCACAAUGGAACUGAGACACGGCCCAAACUCCUACGGGAGGCAGCAGUGGGGAAUAUUGGACAAUGGGCGCAAGCCUGAUCCAGCCAUGCCGCGUGAGUGAUGAAGGCCUUAGGGUUGUAAAGCUCUUUCACCGGAGAAGAUAAUGAUGGUAUCCGGAGAAGAAGCCCCGGCUAACUUCGUGCCAGCCGCCGCCGUAA